RNAcentral lists this non-coding RNA (21 nucleotides) under Caenorhabditis elegans. Lineage: Eukaryota; Metazoa; Nematoda; Chromadorea; Rhabditida; Rhabditidae. The record is from RNAcentral.
UUGUUCGAGCAAACACUUUUC